Molecule: ribosomal RNA, 255 nt
Filed under: uncultured bacterium
Lineage: Bacteria
Description: partial 16S ribosomal RNA
Rfam family: Archaeal small subunit ribosomal RNA
Source: RNAcentral
UACCAGCACCCCGAGUGGUCGGGACGUUUUAUUGGGCCUAAAGCAUCCGUAGCCGGUUCUACAAGUCUUCCGUUAAAUCCAGCUGCUUAACGGAUGGGCUGCGGAAGAUACUAUGGAGCUAGGAGGCGGGAGAGGCAAGCGGUACUCGAUGGGUAGGGGUAAAAUCCGUUGAUCCAUUGAAGACCACCAGUGGCGAAGGCGGCUUGCCAGAACGCGCUCGACGGUGAGGGAUGAAAGCUGGGGGAGCAAAGCCGG